CGUUUGGGUCUUAUGCAAUGGAAUCCUGCGAACCGUGUCAGGUCAGGAAUGAAGCAGCACUAAGCAGAUCAUUUCAUGUGACAUGAGGAAGCCUAGACCGAGU
This 103-nucleotide signal recognition particle RNA is filed under the name Eubacterium ventriosum ATCC 27560. RNAcentral describes it as "bacterial signal recognition particle RNA". It matches the Rfam family "Bacterial small signal recognition particle RNA". Rfam says of the family: The signal recognition particle (SRP) is a universally conserved ribonucleoprotein involved in the co-translational targeting of proteins to membranes. Archaeal SRP consists of a 7S RNA and homologues of the eukaryotic SRP19 and SRP54 proteins. The record is from RNAcentral. Lineage: Bacteria; Bacillati; Bacillota; Clostridia; Eubacteriales; Eubacteriaceae.